CCUACGGGAGGCAGCAGUGAGGAAUAUUGGUCAAUGGUCGGGAGACUGAACCAGCCAAGCCGCGUGAGGGAUGAAGGUACAGAGUAUCGUAAACCUCUUUUGUCAGGGAACAAAGGCGGGGACGUGUCCCCGGAUGAGUGUACCUGAAGAAAAAGCAUCGGCUAACUCCGUGCCAGCAGCCGCGGUAAUACGGAGGAUGCGAGCGUUAUCCGGAUUUAUUGGGUUUAAAGGGUGCGCAGGCGGGCUGUUAAGGAAGCGGUAAAAGCCCGGGGCUCAACCCCGGCCCGCCGUUGAAACUGGCAGUCUCGAGUUGGAGAGAAGUAUGCGGAAUGCGCGGUGUAGCGGUGAAAUGCAUAGAUAUCGCGCAGAACUCCGAUUGCGAAGGCAGCAUGCCGGCUCCACACUGACGCUGAGGCACGAAAGCGUGGGUAUCGAACAGGAUUAGAUACCCCUGUAGUC
This 459-nucleotide ribosomal RNA is filed under the name uncultured bacterium. RNAcentral describes it as "partial 16S ribosomal RNA". It matches the Rfam family "Bacterial small subunit ribosomal RNA", at positions 338 to 795 of the family's 1533-position model. The record is from RNAcentral.